UACGGGGGGGGCAAGCGUUGUUCGGAAUUACUGGGCGUAAAGGGCUCGUAGGCGGCCAACUAAGUCGGACGUGAAAUCCCUCGGCUUAACCGGGGAACUGCGUCCGAUACUGGCAGGCUUGAAUCCGGGAGAGGGAUGCGGAAUUCCAGGUGUAGCGGUGAAAUGCGUAGAUAUCUGGAGGAACACCGGUGGCGAAGGCGGCAUCCUGGACCGGCAUUGACGCUGAGGCGCGAAAGCCAGGGGAGCAAACGGG
RNAcentral lists this ribosomal RNA (253 nucleotides) under uncultured bacterium. RNAcentral's name for it is "partial 16S ribosomal RNA". It matches the Rfam family "Bacterial small subunit ribosomal RNA", at positions 524 to 776 of the family's 1533-position model. The record is from RNAcentral.